AGUGAACGCUGGCGGUAGGCCUAACACAUGCAAGUCGAACGGCAGCACAGGAGAGCUUGCUCUCUGGGUGGCGAGUGGCGGACGGGUGAGGAAUACAUCGGAAUCUACUCUGUCGUGGGGGAUAACGUAGGGAAACUUACGCUAAUACCGCAUACGACCUACGGGUGAAAGCAGGGGACCUUCGGGCCUUGCGCGAUUGAAUGAGCCGAUGUCGGAUUAGCUAGUUGGCGGGGUAAAGGCCCACCAAGGCGACGAUCCGUAGCUGGUCUGAGAGGAUGAUCAGCCACACUGGAACUGAGACACGGUCCAGACUCCUACGGGCGGCAGCAGUGGGGAAUAUUGGACAAUGGGCGCAAGACUGAUCCAGCCAUACCGCGUGGGUGAAGAAGGCCUUCGGGUUGUAAAGCCCUUUUGUUGGGAAAGAAAUCCAGCUGGCUAAUACCCGGUUGGGAUGACGGUACCCAAAGAAUAAGCACCGGCUAACUUCGUGCCAGCCGCCGCGGUAA
Molecule: ribosomal RNA, 506 nt
Filed under: uncultured bacterium
Lineage: Bacteria
Description: partial 16S ribosomal RNA
Rfam family: Bacterial small subunit ribosomal RNA
Source: RNAcentral